RNAcentral lists this ribosomal RNA (292 nucleotides) under uncultured bacterium. Its description in RNAcentral is "partial 16S ribosomal RNA". It matches the Rfam family "Bacterial small subunit ribosomal RNA", at positions 505 to 796 of the family's 1533-position model. The record is from RNAcentral.
GUGCCAGCCGCCGCGGUAAGACGAGGGGUCCAAGCGUUGUUCGGAAUUAUUGGGCGUAAAGCGGGUGUAGGCGGCUCUAUAAGUCAGGAGUGAAAGCCCCGAGCUUAACUUGGGAAGUGCUUUUGAUACUGCAGAGCUUGAAUGUGGGAGAGGGUAGUGGAAUUCCAGGUGUAGUGGUGAAAUACGUAGAUAUCUGGAGGAACACCGGUGGCGAAGGCGGCUACCUGGCCCAACAUUGACGCUGAGACCCGAAAGCAUGGGGAUCAAACAGGAUUAGAAACCCUAGUAGUCC